UGCAUAUGCAUCCUCGUAAUUAUAAAGUUUUGUUAAUUAGGAUAAGAAUACAUGUGAUUGUAUACACAUUUGAUAAGUCUUUUUUACUCCAGGUUAAAGUGGUAUGUAAGGGAUGCAUAAACAGAAGCAGUGUGUUGCUGUUUACUGCAGGAAGGUUUUAUGACAAUGAAUUGUAUGGCCAACGAAUGAGAGAGAGUAGAUGCUAAUUUUGAUGCUGCUGCAGCAGGCAAUGUUUACAAGGGUAUCAUUCCUGGAAAACAUUCCUGAUGUGUUUUCAUCUUUACCUUGCAAGAUUAUGAAGUUAAUUUUCAACCAAGGCGUGGUAGCAAGUGGAGAUUUAUUUUCUGCUGUAGCAUUUCUACUGGAUCUGGCUUGCAUUUUACAAUUCCAAACAUUGGAAUGUUACAGUCUACUGUUAAUUAAGAUUGACGGUGGAGAAGACAAAGGAGACCCCAAUUUAAAAUAGUUAUUUAUCUUGCAUGCUCUAUCUAAAAGAAGUAAUUGAUUAAGUUCAUUUUAUUCGAAUUAAGUUUUUAUUUUACAUUGUUUUGUAUUUUAUUUAGUUCUAUAACCUUCUAUAAUAUUCAAUGUUUCCUUAUAGUGUUGUAUUCUCUUCUCAGCCUUGUGGGAGGAGAGAGGGCCGCCUCGAACAAGUCCCCGUGGCCGUAGCUUUUUAGUUGUUCUUAAAAGUGUCUCAUACACUUUUCGCGAGUCACUCUAGCGUUACUUCCUUUCAGGCAGGGUACAGUGGGUUAUCUGGAAUAGGAGCAAUAGGCGACUGCCCAGCUUGCCCUGGCGAAAUCUGUCCGAUCUUGUGUACCAAAACUAUUAGUAUUUGCCGUUAGUCCUGUUAAUUUGCACUAGUUUCUUUCAGAUAAUGAGGUAUUCUCUAAGAAGAAAGAAGACAUCGUAUUUUUUGCUUUUUAUUGUAUUUUCCUUGAAAUUUCAUUUAUUUUCUUGUCUUUCUUUUACAGGUACUAUGUACUUUACUGUAUAAACUGUUAUAUUUUUAAAAUCCUAACCUGGGUUGAUAUUUAAAAUGUUUCUAUACUGAUUUUUUGGUAUAAUUGUUAAAAUAUUUGUUAACGCUUUCAAAAUUAAUAUUCGUUUGGGUGGAUAGGGUGGGUAAAGAGGUGAUGCGGAGGUCACAGAGGGUUAGGGGGGCUCUUUUCUCUCUAAUCUUGCAUUUCAAUAAUAAUAAUAUGACAGUUCAUGUAUUAUUUCUUAAAUAUUUUGUUUGUAUUAAUGUAUUAUUAUUUGAAGUCCCUAUCUGUUGAUAUUCAUACGUUGUUUUUAAUAUAAAUGCUAUUAAUUUGCAACAAUAAAUGUGUUAUUGAACAUAUUUUAUUUCAUGUAAUUAUGUAUUCAGUCAUAAAAAAGGAUGUAAAGAAAUUAUACAACUUCGGUACAACCCUUA
RNAcentral lists this long non-coding RNA (1417 nucleotides) under Agrilus planipennis (emerald ash borer). RNAcentral describes it as "uncharacterized LOC112906789, transcript variant X2". Lineage: Eukaryota; Metazoa; Arthropoda; Insecta; Coleoptera; Buprestidae. The record is from RNAcentral.